CUGCUAUCGGGGUCCGACUAAGCCAUGCGAGUCAAGGGACUCUUUUGAGUACCGGCGAACGGCUCAGUAACACGUGGCUAACCUACCCUCGGGUGGGGGAUAACCUCGGGAAACUGAGGCUAAUACCCCAUAGGGGAAGAGGUCUGGAACGAUCCUUCCUCGAAAGCAUUAGCGCCCGAGGAUGGGGCUGCGGCGGAUUAGGUAGUUGGUGGGGUAACGGCCCACCAAGCCUACGAUCCGUACGGGCCCUGAGAGGGGGAGCCCGGAGAUGGACACUGAGACACGGGUCCGGGCCCUACGGGGCGCAGCAGGCGCGAAACCUCCGCAAUGUGCGAAAGCGCGACGGGGGGACCCCGAGUGCUCAUGCUCUGCAUGAGCUUUUCCGGAGUGUAAACAGCUUCGGGAAUAAGGGCUGGGCAAGUCCGGUGCCAGCAGCCGCGGUAAUACCGGCGGCCCAAGUGGUGGCCACUUUUAUUGGGCCUAAAGCGUCCGUAGCCGGCUCGGUAAGUCUCUGCUUAAAUCCUGCGGCUUAACCGCAGGGCUGGCAGAGAUACUGCCGAGCUUGGGACCGGGAGAGGGCGAGGGUACUCCAGGGGUAGCGGUGAAAUGCGUUGAUCCCUGGAGGACCACCUAUGGCGAAGGCACUCGCCUGGAACGGGUCCGACGGUGAGGGACGAAGGCCAGGGGAGCAAACCGGAUUAGAUACCCGGGUAGUCCUGGCUGUAAACUCUGCGGACUAG
RNAcentral lists this ribosomal RNA (740 nucleotides) under uncultured prokaryote. Its description in RNAcentral is "bacterial SSU rRNA". It matches the Rfam family "Archaeal small subunit ribosomal RNA", at positions 27 to 770 of the family's 1478-position model. The record is from RNAcentral.